This 95-nucleotide microRNA precursor is filed under the name Mustela putorius furo (domestic ferret). Its description in RNAcentral is "miRNA (ENSMPUG00000022059.1)". The record is from RNAcentral. Lineage: Eukaryota; Metazoa; Chordata; Mammalia; Carnivora; Mustelidae.
AUUACCUAGGAUGUUGUUAAAAUGCAGAUUCUGAUAAGGGGUGGGGCCCGAGAUUUUGUUUGUCUAACAGGUUUCCAGGUGAUGUGGAUGCUGCU